CCGAGAAUCUUUCGCAAUGCCCGAAAGGGUGACGAAGCGACGCCGCGUGCGGGAGGAAGGCCUUCGGGUUGUAAACCGCUGUCGGGAGUUAAGAAAUGCAAGGAUGUUAAUAGCGUUCUUGCUUGACUAAGGCUCCGGAGGAAGCCACGGCUAACUCUGUGCCAGCAGCCGCGGUAAUACAGAGGCGGCAAGCGUUGUUCGGAAUUAUUGGGCGUAAAGAGCACGUAGGCGGCUGCGUAAGUCGGUUGUGAAAGCCUUCCGCUCAACGGAAGAACGGCAUCCGAUACUGCAUGGCUUGAGUGUGGGAGGGGAGAGUGGAACUUCUGGUGGAGCGGUGAAAUGCGUAGAUAUCAGAAGGAACACCGGCGGCGAAGGCGACUCUCUGGUCCAUAACUGACGCUGAGUGUGCGAAAGCUAGGGGAGCAAACGGGAUUAGAUACCCCGGUAGUCCCUGAGCGGGCUGGCAAGGCGCAU
Molecule: ribosomal RNA, 474 nt
Filed under: uncultured bacterium
Lineage: Bacteria
Description: bacterial SSU rRNA
Rfam family: Bacterial small subunit ribosomal RNA
Source: RNAcentral